GGGUUGUGAGGUUAAGCGACUAAGCGUACACGGUGGAUGCCCUGGCAGUCAGAGGCGAUGAAGGACGUGCUAAUCUGCGAUAAGCGUCGGUAAGGUGAUAUGAACCGUUAUAACCGGCGAUUUCCGAAUGGGGAAACCCAGUGUGUUUCGACACACUAUCAUUAACUGAAUCCAUAGGUUAAUGAGGCGAACCGGGGGAACUGAAACAUCUAAGUACCCCGAGGAAAAGAAAUCAACCGAGAUUCCCCCAGUAGCGGCGAGCGAACGGGGAGGAGCCCAGAGCCUGAAUCAGUGUGUGUGUUAGUGGAAGCGUCUGGAAAGGCGCGCGAUACAGGGUGACAGCCCCGUACACAAAAAUGCACAUACUGUGAGCUCGAUGAGUAGGGCGGGACACGUGGUAUCCUGUCUGAAUAUGGGGGGACCAUCCUCCAAGGCUAAAUACUCCUGACUGACCGAUAGUGAACCAGUACCGUGAG
Molecule: ribosomal RNA, 476 nt
Filed under: Escherichia coli
Lineage: Bacteria; Pseudomonadati; Pseudomonadota; Gammaproteobacteria; Enterobacterales; Enterobacteriaceae
Description: partial 23S ribosomal RNA
Rfam family: Bacterial large subunit ribosomal RNA
Source: RNAcentral